UAUUUGGAUCCUUUAGGAUCCACAUGAAGUCUCUUACAGGAAGUUU
Mesocricetus auratus (golden hamster) is the source of this 46-nucleotide non-coding RNA. NCBI's taxonomy places the organism in Eukaryota, Metazoa, Chordata, Mammalia, Rodentia, Cricetidae. The record is from Rfam.